Molecule: ribosomal RNA, 492 nt
Filed under: uncultured bacterium
Lineage: Bacteria
Description: partial 16S ribosomal RNA
Rfam family: Bacterial small subunit ribosomal RNA
Source: RNAcentral
AGUGAACGCUGGCGGUAGGCCUAACACAUGCAAGUCGAACGGCAGCACAGUAAGAGCUUGCUCUUACGGGUGGCGAGUGGCGGACGGGUGAGGAAUACAUCGGAAUCUACUUUUUCGUGGGGGAUAACGUAGGGAAACUUACGCUAAUACCGCAUACGACCUACGGGUGAAAGCAGGGGAUCUUCGGACCUUGCGCGAUUGAAUGCGCCGAUGUCGGAUUAGAUAGUUGGCGGGGUAAAGGCCCACCAAGGCGACGAUCCGUAGCUGGUCUGAGAGGAGGAGCAGCCACACCGGAACUGAGACACGGUCCGGACUCCUACGGGAGGCAGCAGUGGGGAAUAUUGGACAAUGGGCGGAAGCCUGAUCCAGCCAUACCGCGUGGGUGAAGAAGGCCUUCGGGUUGUAAAGCCCUUUUGUUGGGAAAGAAAAGCAGCAGGUUAAUACCCCGCUGUUCUGACGGUACCAAAAGAAUAAGCACCGGCUAACUUCGUG